This 352-nucleotide ribosomal RNA is filed under the name uncultured bacterium. Its description in RNAcentral is "bacterial SSU rRNA". It matches the Rfam family "Bacterial small subunit ribosomal RNA", at positions 917 to 1266 of the family's 1533-position model. The record is from RNAcentral.
GGACCCGCACAAGCGGUGGAGCAUGUGGUUUAAUUCGAUGCAACGCGAAAAAACCUUACCUACACUUGACAUACUUCGAAUUUUUCUAGAGAUAGAUUAGUGCCUUCGGGAGCGAAGAUACAGGUGCUGCAUGGCUGUCGUCAGCUCGUGUCGUGAGAUGUUGGGUUAAGUCCUAUAACGAGCGCAACCCUUACCCUUAUUUGCCAGCGGUUAGGCCGGGAACUAUAAGGGAACUGCCGGUAAUAAGCCGGAGGAAGGUGGGGACGACGUCAAGUCAUCAUGGCCCUUACGUGUAGGGCUACACACGUGCUACAAAUGGGAGAUACAGACGGUUGCUAAAGCGCGAGCUGAG